CCUACGGGAGGCAGCAGUGGGGAAUAUUGCACAAUGGGGGAAACCCUGAUGCAGCGACGCCGCGUGAGCGAUGAAGUAUUUCGGUAUGUAAAGCUCUAUCAGCAGGGAAGAAAAUGACGGUACCUGACUAAGAAGCCCCGUCUAACUACGGGCCAGCAGCCGCGGUAAUACGUAGGGGGCAAGCGUUAUCCGGAUUUACUGGGUGUAAAGGGAGCGUAGACGGUCCUGCAAGCCAGAGGUGAAAGCCCGGGGCUCAACCCCGGGACUGCAUUUGGAACUGUAAGGCUAGAGUGUAGGAGAGGUAGGCGGAAUGCCUAGUGUAGCGGUGAAAUGCGUAGAGAGUAGGAGGAACACUAGUGGCGAAGGCGGCCUGCUGGACGAUGACUGACGUUGAGGCUCGAAAGCGUGGGGAGCAAACAGGAUUAGAUACCCUUGUAGUC
RNAcentral lists this ribosomal RNA (440 nucleotides) under uncultured bacterium. RNAcentral's name for it is "partial 16S ribosomal RNA". It matches the Rfam family "Bacterial small subunit ribosomal RNA", at positions 338 to 795 of the family's 1533-position model. The record is from RNAcentral.